This 381-nucleotide long non-coding RNA is filed under the name Olea europaea (common olive). RNAcentral's name for it is "long non-coding RNA (OEUR_LNC004517)". The record is from RNAcentral. Lineage: Eukaryota; Viridiplantae; Streptophyta; Magnoliopsida; Lamiales; Oleaceae.
CGAAAUUUGAUUCGAUACCACAAUGUCGGGAAUACUACAAGUACAAUAUAUGUCUAUUUUAUUACAUGAGCCUCGAAAAAACCAAUCCAUCUCUAAUUGUGCAGCAUGAAUCUAACACCUUAUACUUCAACUAUUGGUGCUUCACUUUUCUUCUCAGAUUUUUGGAGCAGGGUGGCAGCAACAGUAUCUGCUACCUCUUUCUUCUCCUCCUUGACCACAUCUACAGCUUCUGCUGACUUCAACCCAGGCAGACUUCAGUUCUACCGAUACAGCGAGAAAGCUCAACAUACUCUGACUCUGCUUCUGGCUUGCUCUCGACCGGAACAAGUUCAUCAAGAACCGGUUUUGUCUCAGUUGCUGGGGUUACUUCCUCGUUUUUCA